UGGCGGCAUGCCUUACACAUGCAAGUCGAACGGCAGCGCGGGGCAACCUGGCGGCGAGUGGCGAACGGGUGAGUAAUAUAUCGGAACGUACCCAGGAGUGGGGGAUAACGUAGCGAAAGUUACGCUAAUACCGCAUACGUCCUACGGGAGAAAGUGGGGGAUCGCAAGACCUCAUGCUCAUGGAGCGGCCGAUAUCUGAUUAGCUAGUUGGUAGGGUAAAGGCCUACCAAGGCAUCGAUCAGUAGCUGGUCUGAGAGGACGACCAGCCACACUGGAACUGAGACACGGUCCAGACUCCUACGGGAGGCAGCAGUGGGGAAUUUUGGACAAUGGGCACAAGCCUGAUCCAGCAAUGCCGCGUGAGUGAAGAAGGCCUUCGGGUUGUAAGGCUCUUUUGUCAGGGAAGAAACGGUCUUGGAUAAUACCUAAGGCUAAUGACGGUACCUGAAGAAUAAGCACCGGCUAACUACGUGCCAGCAGCCGCGGUAAUACGUAGGGUGCAAGCGUUAAUCGGAAUUACUGGGCGUAAAGCGUGCGCAGGCGGUUUUAUAAGUCUGUCGUGAAAUCCCCGGGCUCAACCUGGGAAUGGCGAUGGAGACUGUAAGGCUAGAGUUUGGCAGAGGGGGGUAGAAUUCCACGUGUAGCAGUGAAAUGCGUAGAGAUGUGGAGGAACACCGAUGGCGAAGGCAGCCCCCUGGGUCAAAACUGACGCUCAUGCACGAAAGCGUGGGG
This 732-nucleotide ribosomal RNA is filed under the name uncultured soil bacterium. Its description in RNAcentral is "bacterial SSU rRNA". It matches the Rfam family "Bacterial small subunit ribosomal RNA", at positions 37 to 766 of the family's 1533-position model. The record is from RNAcentral.